GAUGAACGCUGGCGGCGUGCUUAACACAUGCAAGUCGAACGAUGAAGCCCAGCUUGCUGGGUGGAUUAGUGGCGAACGGGUGAGCAACACGUGAGUAACCUGCCCUUAACUCUGGGAUAAGCCUGGGAAACUGGGACUAAUACCGGAUAGGAGCGUCCACCGCAUGGUGGGUGUUGGAAAGAUUUAUCGGUUUUGGAUGGACUCGCGGCCUAUCAGCUUGUUGGUGAGGUAAUGGCUCACCAAGGCGACGACGGGUAGCCGGCCUGAGAGGGUGACCGGCCACACUGGGACUGAGACACGGCCCAGACUCCUACGGGAGGCAGCAGUGGGGAAUAUUGCACAAUGGGCGCAAGCCUGAUGCAGCGACGCCGCGUGAGGGAUGACGGCCUUCGGGUUGUAAACCUCUUUCAGUAGGGAAGAAGCGAAAGUGACGGUACCUGCAGAAGAAGCACCGGCUAACUACGUG
This 466-nucleotide ribosomal RNA is filed under the name uncultured bacterium. RNAcentral describes it as "partial 16S ribosomal RNA". It matches the Rfam family "Bacterial small subunit ribosomal RNA", at positions 28 to 507 of the family's 1533-position model. The record is from RNAcentral.